AUUGAACGCUGGCGGUAUGCCUUACACAUGCAAGUCGAACGGUAGAGGGGCAACCCUUGAGAGUGGCGAACGGGUGAGUAAUACAUCGGAACGUGCCCAGUCGUGGGGGAUAACGUAGCGAAAGCUACGCUAAUACCGCAUACGACCUGAGGGUGAAAGCGGGGGAUCGCAAGACCUCGCGCGAUUGGAGCGGCCGAUGGCAGAUUAGGUAGUUGGUGGGGUAAAGGCCUACCAAGCCUGCGAUCUGUAGCUGGUCUGAGAGGACGACCAGCCACACUGGGACUGAGACACGGCCCAGACUCCUACGGGAGGCAGCAGUGGGGAAUUUUGGACAAUGGGCGAAAGCCUGAUCCAGCCAUACCGCGUGCGGGAAGAAGGCCUUCGGGUUGUAAACCGCUUUUGUCAGGGAAGAAAUCUUCUGGGUUAAUACCUCGGGAGGAUGACGGUACCUGAAGAAUAAGCACCGGCUAACUACGUGCCAGCCGCCGCGGUAA
This 494-nucleotide ribosomal RNA is filed under the name uncultured bacterium. Its description in RNAcentral is "partial 16S ribosomal RNA". It matches the Rfam family "Bacterial small subunit ribosomal RNA", at positions 29 to 523 of the family's 1533-position model. The record is from RNAcentral.